This 916-nucleotide ribosomal RNA is filed under the name uncultured archaeon. RNAcentral's name for it is "SSU rRNA". It matches the Rfam family "Archaeal small subunit ribosomal RNA", at positions 1 to 923 of the family's 1478-position model. The record is from RNAcentral.
UUUCCGGUUGAUCCUGCCGGACCUGACUGCUAUCGGAUUGAUACUAAGCCAUGCGAGUCAUUGUAGCAAUACAAGGCAUACGGCUCAGUAACGCGUAGUCAACCUACCCUAUGGACGGGAAUAACCUCGGGAAACUGAGUAUAAUGCCCGAUAGAACAUUAUGCCUGGAAGGGUUUAUGUUCCAAAUGAUUUAUCGCCGUAUGAUGGGACUGCGGCCUAUCAGUUUGUUGGUGAGGUAAUGGCCCACCAAGACUAUUACAGGUACGGGCUCUGAGAGGAGUAGCCCGGAGAUGGGUACUGAGACACGGACCCAGGCCCUAUGGGGCGCAGCAGGCGAGAAAACUUUGCAAUGUGCGAAAGCACGACAAGGUUAAUCCGAGUGGUUUCUGCUAAAGGAACCUUUUGUUAGUCCUAAAAACACUAACGAAUAAGGGGUGGGCAAGUUCUGGUGUCAGCCGCCGCGGUAAAACCAGCACCUCAAGUGGUCAGGAUGAUUAUUGGGCCUAAAGCAUCCGUAGCCUGCUCUGUAAGUUUUCGGUUAAAUCUGUAUGCUCAACAUACAGGCCGCCGGGAAUACUGCAGAGCUAGGGAGUGGGAGAGGUAGACGGUACUCGGGAGGAAGUGGUAAAAUGCUUUGAUCUCUCGAUGACCACCUGUGGCGAAGGCGGUCUACCAGAACACGUCCGACGGUGAGGGAUGAAAGCUGGGGGAGCAAACCGGAUUAGAUACCCGGGUAGUCCCAGCCGUAAACUAUGCAAACUCAGUGAUGCAUUGGCUUUUGGCCAAUGCAGUGUUGCAGGGAAGCCGUUAAGUUUGCCGCCUGGGGAGUACGUACGCAAGUAUGAAACUUAAAGGAAUUGGCGGGGGAGCACCACAAGGGGUGAAGCCUGCGGUUCAAUUGGAUUCAACGCCGGAA